GGUAAGAUGGCCGAGUAGGCAUUAGACUGUAAAUCUAAGCACAGAGUUUGAAACCCUCUUCUUAUCA
This 67-nucleotide transfer RNA is filed under the name Cavia porcellus (domestic guinea pig). It matches the Rfam family "tRNA". From Rfam's summary of the family: Transfer RNA (tRNA) molecules are approximately 80 nucleotides in length. Their secondary structure includes four short double-helical elements and three loops (D, anti-codon, and T loops). Lineage: Eukaryota; Metazoa; Chordata; Mammalia; Rodentia; Caviidae. The record is from Rfam by way of RNAcentral.